Triticum aestivum (bread wheat) is the source of this 156-nucleotide non-coding RNA. The record is from Rfam. Lineage: Eukaryota; Viridiplantae; Streptophyta; Magnoliopsida; Poales; Poaceae.
GUAGUAUUCCCUCCGUCCCAAAAUUCUUGUCUUACAUUUGUUUAGAUAUGGAUGUAUCUAACACUANUAUGGAUGUAUCUAACACUAAAAUGUAACUAGAUACAUCCGUAUUUAGACAAAUUUAAGACAAGAAUUUUGGGACGGAGGGAGUACAAA